Molecule: long non-coding RNA, 311 nt
Organism: Engraulis encrasicolus (European anchovy)
Lineage: Eukaryota; Metazoa; Chordata; Actinopteri; Clupeiformes; Engraulidae
Exons: 3
Source: RefSeq, a predicted model, not a curated record
ACUGAAAACCUGCUGGAGCAAUCCUGGCGUAUUUCCCAAUAAGCUGUAGACUUGUGAUUCAAGCUGGAAGACACAAACCACUCAUAUGACCAAAAGACCGCUACAGCAGGCUGGUGCAGGAGGUGCAGACCGGUGGUGUUGGUGGAGACCGCUACAGCUGGCUGGUGCAGGAGGUGAAGGAGGUGGUGUUGGCCGCUACAGCAGACUGGUGCAGACUGGUGGUGUUGGUGUUGGUGGAGACCACUACAGCAGGCUGGUGCGGGUGAUGUUGACGUUUCCCUCCAAAAGAGUAACUGCAAUGAUAUUACAGU